This is a long non-coding RNA of Erythranthe guttata (spotted monkey flower), 1231 nucleotides long. RefSeq lists it as uncharacterized. NCBI's taxonomy places the organism in Eukaryota, Viridiplantae, Streptophyta, Magnoliopsida, Lamiales, Phrymaceae. The record is from RefSeq and is a predicted model, not a curated record.
UGUAGGUUUUUUGAAGCAAAGAAAUUAUUUAUUUAUUACUGAGUUCUUUGAGUUGGAAUUUGAAGCAGAAACCCUAGAAAUACAGUCCAACAAUCAAUCCCAUUAUCACAAUUCACAGUGAAUUCAAAUUUAAUCUCUCAAUCUACUUUUCACCCCUCUUAUUUUUUUCUCAAUUCCCACCCCGGAAUCAUAAUCAAUCGGCUGAAAUAAAUGGAUUCGUCGUCGAAAUUACCCAACCGCAGUUCAUCUGCUGGACCAAUGAUUCUCGUCGGCCUUCUGUUUUUCCUCACUGCAAUUUCGCGCCAGGAAAUGAGGGUUGAAGUGUGGAUACACUGAAUUCAACCAUUAUUUGUUCUCUGUGUUGAAUUUGAAUUCUGGUUUUAGCCAUUUGGAGGAUUUCGCGCCAGGAAAUGAGUGAAUUAGCGCACUUCUAAUGGGGUUCACAUUGAAUUCGAAUUUAGCUAUUUUGAGGAUUUCGGAGUGUGAAAAGUAAGAAUAUUUUCUUCACUGGUGCAGAGAUGAAUUGUUGCUGAUUUACAUGGUGUUUGUGAAAACUGGGAAGUCUUCUCUUUUUGUGCAUGUUCCGUGCUUUCUUUUUGUGAUUCAUGUUAAUAAUUACCUCAUCCAAAAGCAUAAAAUUUAACAGAGGGUAUAAUUUUUUUAUCUUGAUGACUUAAACAACAAUUGUGUAGUUGGUUUGGUUGCUUUUCAAAGUGCCUCUUGUCUACAAAAGUUAAUUUUUUCCAACAUAAUUUGCAGGAUUAGUGCAUUAGCAGUGUUGAAACUGAGUUUCUCACGGGAAAUUAAAAGGGGUAUUAUUGGAGCAUUCCGUGGUAAACAAUAUAUGAUGAACGAUGAUGAGCUCUUGGUUUCCUUCUUCGUGAGUAAGACGUCAUCCACAUCUACCGAUCGACGAGGUUUCCUCGAGUGUUCGUGAGCUCGAGAGGCCGACCCAGUAAGCCAGAGAGAGGUCCAGAGCAAACACGGCAAAAGAAUUGGUCUUCCACUAUAGAGCCAGAACAGUUUUAUCUUGGUUAAUUCAUUCAGGGGUUGUUUCCCUGAAUGAAGUAAAUUAGUUUCCAACGCACAAAGUAUAAUAACCAAAAAUGGACUCUUGUGCACAUGUUGUAACAAGACGCUCUCAAUCUCCGAUUUUGCUGCACAUGCUGGUUCAAAUUCAAAAUGGCCUUGCAUGAGUCUUUUCAUGGAAUAUGGAAAGUCAUUAAUCUUA